AGGCGGCGGACGGGGGAGUAACGCGUGGGUAACGUGCCUCAUACAGGGGGGUAACAGUUGGAAACGGGCUGCUAAUACCGCAUAAGCGCACAGUACCGCAUGGUACGGUGUGAAAAACUCCGGUGGUAUGAGAUGGACCCGCGUCUGAUUAGGUAGUUGGUGGGGUAACGGCCUACCAAGCCGACGAUCAGUAGCCGACCUGAGAGGGUGACCGGCCACAUUGGGACUGAGACACGGCCCAA
RNAcentral lists this ribosomal RNA (242 nucleotides) under uncultured bacterium. RNAcentral describes it as "partial 16S ribosomal RNA". It matches the Rfam family "Bacterial small subunit ribosomal RNA", at positions 93 to 334 of the family's 1533-position model. The record is from RNAcentral.